Molecule: long non-coding RNA, 482 nt
Organism: Linepithema humile (Argentine ant)
Lineage: Eukaryota; Metazoa; Arthropoda; Insecta; Hymenoptera; Formicidae
Source: RefSeq, a predicted model, not a curated record
CUCAUUAUCACUAACAGCAGAGUACGGCAAUCCCGAGGCUUGAAAGUAUACCAAAGUGAUUCAUAUGCCGCAUCGCCGACCAUUUUGCUCUAGAAUGCAAAUGAGAGACAGAUGCGUGGAAAAACGAGACGUCGCCCUUGGCGCACACAGUGCUUCAUUUCUACAUAUUCACCGGCGAAACAGAAGAUAAAUGCCUCCAGAGUGAUGGCUAUGUAGAAAAACACGGUUUUUACUAACAUCCUGAUGCCUUCGUCUGUACCUAACGACUAUAAAUCAGAGAGAGAUUCAAGAAGAACGUUGAUGACUAUAGGCAGAGGCCUCAGACACGUGGCGUGCGGACGGGAAGCGGUCAGUUCCCCCCAUCGCGCAGCCCGCAAGGGCCUUAUGAUAGAGGUAGUGUAAACGAAGGUAUAUCCUUUCACUUUUGUAGCUUUUCAGCUGAGAAAUAACUCUUCGCUUAACAGGCAGCGUUAUACCAACAC